This 73-nucleotide transfer RNA is filed under the name Clostridiaceae bacterium. RNAcentral describes it as "tRNA-Thr". It matches the Rfam family "tRNA". Rfam says of the family: Transfer RNA (tRNA) molecules are approximately 80 nucleotides in length. Their secondary structure includes four short double-helical elements and three loops (D, anti-codon, and T loops). Further hydrogen bonds mediate the characteristic L-shaped molecular structure. tRNAs have two regions of fundamental functional importance: the anti-codon, which is responsible for specific mRNA codon recognition, and the 3' end, to which the tRNAs corresponding amino acid is attached (by aminoacyl-tRNA synthetases). tRNAs cope with the degeneracy of the genetic code in two manners: having more than one tRNA (with a specific anti-codon) for a particular amino acid; and 'wobble' base-pairing, i.e. permitting non-standard base-pairing at the 3rd anti-codon position. The record is from RNAcentral. Lineage: Bacteria; Bacillati; Bacillota; Clostridia; Eubacteriales; Clostridiaceae.
GCUUCAUUAGCGCAGUUGGUAGCGCAACUGAUUCGUAAUCAGUAGGUCGGCAGUUCGAGUCUGCCAUGGAGCU